This 239-nucleotide ribosomal RNA is filed under the name uncultured bacterium. RNAcentral describes it as "partial 16S ribosomal RNA". It matches the Rfam family "Bacterial small subunit ribosomal RNA", at positions 95 to 334 of the family's 1533-position model. The record is from RNAcentral.
CCGGCGCACGGGUGAGUAACGCGUAUGCAACUUGCCUAUCAGAGGGGGAUAACAGUUGGAAACGGCUGCUAAUACCGCAUAAGCGCACAGUACCGCAUGGUACGGUGUGAAAAACUCCGGUGGUAUGAGAUGGACCCGCGUCUGAUUAGGUAGUUGGUGGGGUAACGGCCUACCAAGCCGACGAUCAGUAGCCGACCUGAGAGGGUGACCGGCCACAUUGGGACUGAGACACGGCCCAA